Molecule: unclassified non-coding RNA, 277 nt
Filed under: fungal sp.
Lineage: Eukaryota; Fungi
Description: partial internal transcribed spacer region
Rfam family: Eukaryotic small subunit ribosomal RNA (bases 1-46)
Source: RNAcentral
AAGUCGUAACAAGGUUUCCGUAGGUGAACCUGCGGAAGGAUCAUUAACGAGUUUUGAAAGGAGUUGUCGCUGGUCUCUUUACCGAGGCAAUGUGCACGCUCUGCUCAUCCACUCUUAAACUUUUGUGCACUUAUUGUAAGAUGGUGAAAGGUUGAACAAUUUAUUUUGUUCGAUUGGAAGCCUUCUUAUGUUUUAUUAAAAACGCUUCAGUUAUAGAAUGUCAAUUUGCGGUUAACGCAUUUAUAUACAACUUUCAGCAACGGAUCUCUUGGCUCUC